AGAGCGGGUGAGAUGAUCGCUCCCCGGCAACGGGGGGAGGAAAGUCCGAGCUCCGCAGGGCAAGGCGGUCCCGAAACGGGACAGGGGGCGACCCCAUGGACAGUGCCACAGAAAAGAAGACCGCCCCGGAUCUCCGGGGCAAGGGUGAAACGGUGAGGUAAGAGCUCACCAGGUCCCGCUGCGAGGCGGGAUGCUUGGAAAACCCCGCCUGGAGCAAGACCACAUAGGGAAGCGUCCCCCGCUUGUCGGGGGUAAGGACGGCCCGUCCGAGACUUCCGGGUAGGUCGCUUGUGCCGUUGAGCAAUCAGCGGCCCAGAUAAAUGGUCAUCGCCUCCGGGCAACCGGAGGAGACAGAACUCGGCUUACGGCCCGCUCUGAUC
RNAcentral lists this RNase P RNA (380 nucleotides) under Nitrospirae bacterium GWC2_57_13. RNAcentral describes it as "RNase P RNA component class A". It matches the Rfam family "Bacterial RNase P class A". Rfam says of the family: Ribonuclease P (RNase P) is a ubiquitous endoribonuclease, found in archaea, bacteria and eukarya as well as chloroplasts and mitochondria. RNAcentral also lists the same sequence under 2 other names. Lineage: Bacteria; Pseudomonadati; Nitrospirota. The record is from RNAcentral.